GCGCUGAACCGCAAGGAUUUCACGCCCACAGAACAUACUCGGGUAUGUUCGGCCCAUUUCGUGGCUGGAGAGAAGACGGACGAAAAUAUCGUCCCGCAGCUCUCUCUCGGGUAUGCGCGUAAGGUUGUCGUUGGGAG
Molecule: long non-coding RNA, 137 nt
Organism: Ixodes scapularis (black-legged tick)
Lineage: Eukaryota; Metazoa; Arthropoda; Arachnida; Ixodida; Ixodidae
Exons: 3
Source: RefSeq, a predicted model, not a curated record